This 265-nucleotide ribosomal RNA is filed under the name uncultured archaeon. RNAcentral's name for it is "partial 16S ribosomal RNA". It matches the Rfam family "Archaeal small subunit ribosomal RNA", at positions 719 to 982 of the family's 1478-position model. The record is from RNAcentral.
ACAGUCACACAUUAGAUACCCGGGUAGUCCCAGCCGUAAACUAUGCUCGCUAGGUGUCAGGCAUGGCGCGACCGUGUCUGGUGCCGCAGGGAAGCCGUGAAGCGAGCCACCUGGGAAGUACGGCCGCAAGGCUGAAACUUAAAGGAAUUGGCGGGGGAGCACAACAACGGGUGGAGCCUGCGGUUUAAUUGGACUCAACGCCGGACAACUCACCGGGGACGACAGCAAUAUGUAGGCCAGGCUGAAGACCUUGCCUGAAUCGCUG